GCAGUCGAGCGGAACGAGUUAUCUGAACCUUCGGGGAACGAUAACGGCGUCGAGCGGCGGACGGGUGAGUAAUGCCUAGGAAAUUGCCCUGAUGUGGGGGAUAACCAUUGGAAACGAUGGCUAAUACCGCAUGAUGCCUACGGGCCAAAGAGGGGGACCUUCGGGCCUCUCGCGUCAGGAUAUGCCUAGGUGGGAUUAGCUAGUUGGUGAGGUAAGGGCUCACCAAGGCGACGAUCCCUAGCUGGUCUGAGAGGAUGAUCAGCCACACUGGAACUGAGACACGGUCCAGACUCCUACGGGAGGCAGCAGUGGGGAAUAUUGCACAAUGGGCGCAAGCCUGAUGCAGCCAUGCCGCGUGUGUGAAGAAGGCCUUCGGGUUGUAAAGCACUUUCAGUCGUGAGGAAGGUGGUGGUGUUAAUAGCUGCAUCAUUUGACGUUAGCGACAGAAGAAGCACCGGCUAACUCCGUGCCAGCAGCCGCGGUAAUACGGAGGGUGCGAGCGUUAAUCGGAAUUACUGGGCGUAAAGCGCAUGCAGGUGGUUUGUUAAGUCAGAUGUGAAAGCCCGGGGCUCAACCUCGGAAUAGCAUUUGAAACUGGCAGACUAGAGUACUGUAGAGGGGGGUAGAAUUUCAGGUGUAGCGGUGAAAUGCGUAGAGAUCUGAA
This 664-nucleotide ribosomal RNA is filed under the name Vibrio alginolyticus. RNAcentral describes it as "bacterial SSU rRNA". It matches the Rfam family "Bacterial small subunit ribosomal RNA", at positions 57 to 702 of the family's 1533-position model. Lineage: Bacteria; Pseudomonadati; Pseudomonadota; Gammaproteobacteria; Vibrionales; Vibrionaceae. The record is from RNAcentral.